GGAGGGUGCGAGCGUUAAUCGGAUUUACUGGGCGUAAAGCGUGCGUAGGCGGCUUUUUAAGUCGGAUGUGAAAUCCCUGAGCUUAACUUAGGAAUUGCAUUCGGUACUGGGAAGCUAGAGUAUGGGAGAGGAUGGUAGAAUUCCAGGUGUAGCGGUGAAAUGCGUAGAGAUCUGGAGGAAUACCGAUGGCGAAGGCAGCCAUCUGGCCUAAUACUGACGCUGAGGUACGAAAGCAUGGGGGGAGCAAACAGGAUUAGAUGCCCUGGUAGUCCAUGCCCGUAAACGAUGUCUACUAGCCGUUGGGGGCCCUUUGAGGCUUUAGUGGCGCAGCUAGCGCGAUAAGUAGACCGCCUGGGGAGUACGGUCGCAAGACUA
RNAcentral lists this ribosomal RNA (375 nucleotides) under uncultured organism. RNAcentral's name for it is "partial 16S ribosomal RNA". It matches the Rfam family "Bacterial small subunit ribosomal RNA", at positions 527 to 896 of the family's 1533-position model. The record is from RNAcentral.